RNAcentral lists this ribosomal RNA (175 nucleotides) under Ruellia terminalis. RNAcentral describes it as "5.8S ribosomal RNA". The stretch from base 1 to 104 matches the Rfam family "5.8S ribosomal RNA", at positions 53 to 154 of the family's 154-position model. Rfam says of the family: 5.8S ribosomal RNA (5.8S rRNA) is a component of the large subunit of the eukaryotic ribosome. It is transcribed by RNA polymerase I as part of the 45S precursor that also contains 18S and 28S rRNA. The record is from RNAcentral. Lineage: Eukaryota; Viridiplantae; Streptophyta; Magnoliopsida; Lamiales; Acanthaceae.
AUGCGAUACUUGGUGUGAAUUGCAGAAUCCCGUGAACCAUCGAGUYUUUGAACGCAAGUUGCGCCUGAAGCCUUCGGGCCGAGGGCACGCCUGCCUGGGCGUCACGCAUCGCGUCGCCCCCCCAACUCCGCUCGAACAAAGCGGAUGCGUGGGGGGCGGAAAUUGGCCUCCCGUA